Molecule: long non-coding RNA, 213 nt
Filed under: Nicotiana benthamiana
Lineage: Eukaryota; Viridiplantae; Streptophyta; Magnoliopsida; Solanales; Solanaceae
Description: long non-coding RNA (NBEN_LNC000429)
Source: RNAcentral
CGCUUAAGGUGCCUAAGUGGGGGAAGAAGUAAGUCUCAUCCCUUAACUACGAAACCGAAACUAAGCGGCUCUUCUUCAUAUCGAGAAAUGAAGUGAGAAGGAUUUCUAGCUAGUCUUCCUUAUAAACCGGGUAAAUGACUUAACCAAUCGAGUUGUUCACAUUCAACUAUGGCAAUUCUUGUUAAGAGCUGAAACCAAGAGUUCAGAGCGGCC